RNAcentral lists this small RNA (79 nucleotides) under Pectobacterium brasiliense. RNAcentral's name for it is "Pectobacterium carotovorum subsp. brasiliense isrK". It matches the Rfam family "isrK Hfq binding RNA". Lineage: Bacteria; Pseudomonadati; Pseudomonadota; Gammaproteobacteria; Enterobacterales; Pectobacteriaceae. The record is from RNAcentral.
GUCACCGCACAUCGGUGACCGGGUGUAGGAACCCGGACUUACUAUCGGCGAUAAGAUCGGACGCGCCAGCGUCCUUUUU